GAUGAACGCUGGCGGCGUGCCUAAUACAUGCAAGUCGAGCGAACGGACGAGAAGCUUGCUUUUCUGAUGUUAGCGGCGGACGGGUGAGUAACACGUGGAUAACCUACCUAUAAGACUGGGAUAACUUCGGGAAACCGGAGCUAAUACCGGAUAAUAUUUUGAACCGCAUGGUUCAAAAGUGAAAGACGGUCUUGCUGUCACUUAUAGAUGGAUCCGCGCUGCAUUAGCUAGUUGGUAAGGUAACGGCUUACCAAGGCAACGAUGCAUAGCCGACCUGAGAGGAGGAUCGGCCACACUGGAACUGAGACACGGUCCAGACUCCUACGGGAGGCAGCAGUAGGGAAUCUUCCGCAAGGGGCGAAAGCCUGACGGAGCAACGCCGCGUGAGUGAUGAAGGUCUUCGGAUCGUAAAACUCUGUUAUUAGGGAAGAACAUAUGUGUAAGUAACUGUGCACAUCUUGACGGUACCUAAUCAGAAAGCCACGGCUAACUACGUG
RNAcentral lists this ribosomal RNA (497 nucleotides) under uncultured bacterium. RNAcentral describes it as "partial 16S ribosomal RNA". It matches the Rfam family "Bacterial small subunit ribosomal RNA", at positions 28 to 507 of the family's 1533-position model. The record is from RNAcentral.